GACGAACGCUGGCGGCGUGCUUAACACAUGCAAGUCGAACGGAAAGGCCCUGCUUUUGUGGGGUGCUCGAGUGGCGAACGGGAGAGUAGCACGUGAGUAACCUGCCCUUGACUUUGGGAUAACUUCAGGAAACUGGGGCUAAUACCGGAUAGGAGCUCCUGCUGCAUGGUGGGGGUUGGAAAGUUUCGGCGGUUGGGGAUGGACUCGCGGCUUAUCAGCUUGUUGGUGGGGUAGUGGCUUACCAAGGCUUUGACGGGUAGCCGGCCUGAGAGGGUGACCGGCCACAUUGGGACUGAGAUACGGCCCAGACUCCUACGGGAGGCAGCAGUGGGGAAUAUUGCACAAUGGGCGGAAGCCUGAUGCAGCAACGCCGCGUGCGGGAUGACGGCCUUCGGGUUGUAAACCGCUUUCGCCUGUGACGAAGCGUGAGUGACGGUAAUGGGUAAAGAAGCACCGGCUAACUACGUG
RNAcentral lists this ribosomal RNA (468 nucleotides) under uncultured bacterium. RNAcentral's name for it is "partial 16S ribosomal RNA". It matches the Rfam family "Bacterial small subunit ribosomal RNA", at positions 28 to 507 of the family's 1533-position model. The record is from RNAcentral.